AUUUGGUUGAAAAUCUUGUAUCCAUAGAUGACCCAGGACGUCUAUAGCAUGGCACCCUGAGAGUUGGUGCCAUUUCAUUCACUUGAGUAGUUUCAAAGACCAAAAAUAUACCGAAACAGGAAGUUUAGAUUCUAUUUCAUCAUCAGAGAAUUCAAUAAACUGAAAAAUAAGUAUACAUUCUUUAUGAAAGAGCAACUUAUGUUAUUGGUAACUGCAAUGUUGCAUAGAACAAACUUCAGAUGGUGGUUCUUGAUCGUCUACCCAAGAUGCAUCAGAUCCUUUCAUACUAUGUAAUAAUGAAAAAAAAUGACUAAGAUUUAACUUUAAUUACACGUCUAAAAUGAAAAAAUCCUUACUUUCUCAACUGUGAAAGAAAUACAAAAUGUGUUAUAUCUUUUGAA
Xenia sp. Carnegie-2017 is the source of this 401-nucleotide long non-coding RNA. RefSeq lists it as uncharacterized. The record is from RefSeq and is a predicted model, not a curated record. Lineage: Eukaryota; Metazoa; Cnidaria; Anthozoa; Malacalcyonacea; Xeniidae. The transcript has 3 exons.